Molecule: long non-coding RNA, 1018 nt
Organism: Brassica oleracea var. oleracea
Lineage: Eukaryota; Viridiplantae; Streptophyta; Magnoliopsida; Brassicales; Brassicaceae
Exons: 4
Source: RefSeq, a predicted model, not a curated record
GUUUCUGGUACGUUACUUUUUUGUUUCAAUAAACUUUUCGUCUUCUUCUCUUCCUUAUUAACAAGCUUCUCCUUUGAAGUCUCAAGGGCUCUUCCAUCUCGAGUUCUGCUUCUCAUGCCGUCUAAGACCUCUCUCGAUGCCGCUGCAUCUCUGACUCCACCACUGCGCCUCCGACUACUCUACGCUGCGCCUCCUCCUUUGCGAGCGGCUCCAUAUCUCCUCCUCGGCCUCAGUAUCAUACGCGACUCCUAAUUUCUUUUGCUUCUCUUUCUGUCGCCGGCAAUCGUGGCUAAUCCUCUUGGAUCUGCUCUGAGGGAAGUUAUCGACAGAUAUAGUGAAUGGGAGUAUUAAAUCACAGAUGAAUGGACAAUACUAUGGAUCCUGAACUCAUGUUUUUACCGUUGGAAAGAUGAUUUUGAGGAUGGAUCACAACGGCUUCAGCCCCAAAACGAGAUUCAGCCUCGCUGCUUCUUCUCUUGCUGUAGCGACGUUGGUUGUCCCCAUCUUCUUCCCGACUUGGCCAACGAGAAUGAGAACAGUAACAGAGGCUCAUCAGAUCGUGAUCUGAUUUCUGUCGGCAUGCGGUUGGAUCCUAACGGUAAAAUCGCUGUGGAAUGGGACCCCGUUGGUGCAUUUUACUUUUCAGUGCCUCAGAUACUUUAAAGUUUUGAAUCUUUGAACUGAUUUUCUGGAGGGGAUUUGUUUGACUAAUAUGUAUGCUUUGUAUAAACUAGCUGAUGCAGAUGCAUGUUGAAUUUAAUGAAUUUGGUGGAAUCUCAAUGUUGGAUGCAACUCUUGCUGGGGACAAUGAAACCGUCUUGGACGCUGUAGAAUGUUAUUGAAGCACUUUAGGAGACUAUACUUUUUGAUUCUACAACAAAUUGUCCGAGUGUUUUUUUUUACGCUCAAGCCAACCAUCUAUGAUGAGCACCAAUAACAUUGUGCCUCUUAAACAACAAAAAUGAGAGCAUUCUCCUUUUUUAUAUAUCAAAGCUUAUUUUUCCUAUUUGAAUUUGUG